RNAcentral lists this ribosomal RNA (466 nucleotides) under uncultured Actinomycetes bacterium. Its description in RNAcentral is "bacterial SSU rRNA". It matches the Rfam family "Bacterial small subunit ribosomal RNA", at positions 355 to 832 of the family's 1533-position model. The record is from RNAcentral. Lineage: Bacteria; Bacillati; Actinomycetota; Actinomycetes.
UGGGGAAUAUUGGACGAUGGGCGAAAGCCUGAUCCAGCAACGCCGCGUGAGGGAUGACGGCCUUCGGGUUGUAAACCUACUUUCAGCAGGGACGAAGCGAAAGUGACGGUACCUGCAGAAGAAGGACCGGCCAACUACGUGCCAGCAGCCGCGGUAAUACGUAGGGUCCGAGCGUUGUCCGGAAUUAUUGGGCGUAAAGGGCUCGUAGGCGGUUUGUCGCGUCGGGAGUGAAAACUCAGGGCUCAACCCUGAGUGUGCUUACGAUACGGGCAAACUAGAGGUAUGCAGGGGAGAACGGAAUUCCUGGUGUAGCGGUGGAAUGCGCAGAUAUCAGGAGGAACACCGGUGGCGAAGGCGGUUCUCUGGGCAUUACCUGACGCUGAGGAGCGAAAGCAUGGGGAGCGAACAGGAUUAGAUACCCUGGUAGUCCAUGCCGUAAACGUUGGGCGCUAGGUGUGGGGACCUU